AGACACUAUCAAAUAUGAUUGGACAAUAAUAAGAGCGGUCUUUUUAAUGUUAACCAAUCAGAAGCCAAACAAGAUAUUUGUAAAGAUAUCGCGAUUGCCGCCCAGUUUCUUCCGACUCCUCAGCGACAAGAACGUUUAAGACAAAUCUUUAGAGGAAUAUCGAUUAGGUUUAGGUGGUGCUGGUAAUGUGGAGUUGUAAGGGGUGCUCAGAAAAAGUGUCAAGUAGGUCCAAGCUUUUGCAUCACUACAAAUUAAAACAUCCACAUUUUGGACGUCAUUGCCACUUCCCAUGUACAUACCUGCAUUGUCCAUGCAGAGAGAUAAAUGCUGAGUUUAAGAGAAUUACGACCAUACCGCUUCAUUCAAAGUUCUUCUCUCAACUGGAUCUCCACUGUGACAACCUGAGGAAGCUCUUCAAAAGAAGAGGAGGACAGCUCGGACAAAAGCUUAGACAAAUUGUUGCACAAAUAGAUGAUGUAAGUGAUGUAGCCAUAACACAACUAAUAAUAUAGAAAAUUACAUUUUUCUUGUUUUAAAUGUUGUCAACUUGGACUUUUACUCUUGCUUAUUUUCAUUUAAAACUUUACUUUUAACUUUAUUAGUUUCUAUCUCUUCACCAUAAAAAACAUUUGGGUAAAG
Molecule: long non-coding RNA, 639 nt
Organism: Gambusia affinis (western mosquitofish)
Lineage: Eukaryota; Metazoa; Chordata; Actinopteri; Cyprinodontiformes; Poeciliidae
Exons: 3
Source: RefSeq, a predicted model, not a curated record